GGCCCAGGCAACCACAUUAUUGAGUGCAGCGUUGACGAUGAUAAAAAUUUUCUACAAAAUAUCUAUCUUUGUAGAAUGAUAAGUAUAUCGUAACUUUGCACUCUCUAAUCUGUUUGCCAAUGGCU
Molecule: microRNA precursor, 125 nt
Filed under: Picea abies (Norway spruce)
Lineage: Eukaryota; Viridiplantae; Streptophyta; Pinopsida; Pinales; Pinaceae
Description: miR397g stem-loop (pab-MIR397g)
Gene: pab-MIR397g
Source: miRBase by way of RNAcentral